RNAcentral lists this transfer RNA (72 nucleotides) under Bos taurus (domestic cattle). It matches the Rfam family "tRNA". From Rfam's summary of the family: Transfer RNA (tRNA) molecules are approximately 80 nucleotides in length. Lineage: Eukaryota; Metazoa; Chordata; Mammalia; Artiodactyla; Bovidae. The record is from Rfam by way of RNAcentral. RNAcentral also lists the same sequence under 5 other names.
UCCCUGGAAGCUUAGAUGGUAAAGAAUCUACCUGCAAUGGAGCAGACCCAGGUUCGAUCCCUGGGUAGGGAA